GACGAACGCUGGCGGCGUGCUUAACACAUGCAAGUCGAACGUGAUUUUUGUGGAAAUUCUUUCGGGAAUGGAAAUGAAAUGAAAGUGGCGAACGGGUGAGUAACACGUGAGCAACCUACCUUACACAGGGGGAUAGCCGUUGGAAACGACGAUUAAUACCGCAUGAGACCACAGAAUCGCAUGAUAUAGGGGUCAAAGAUUUAUCGGUGUAAGAAGGGCUCGCGUCUGAUUAGCUAGUUGGAAGGGUAAAGGCCUACCAAGGCGACGAUCAGUAGCCGGUCUGAGAGGAUGAACGGCCACAUUGGAACUGAGACACGGUCCAAACUCCUACGGGAGGCAGCAGUGGGGAAUAUUGCACAAUGGGGGGAACCCUGAUGCAGCGACGCCGCGUGAGCGAAGAAGGUUUUCGAAUCGUAAAGCUCUGUCCUAUGAGAAGAUAAUGACGGUAUCAUAGGAGGAAGCCCCGGCUAAAUACGUGCCAGCAGCCGCGGUAAUACGUAUGGGGCGAGCGUUGUCCGGAAUUAUUGGGCGUAAAGGGUACGUAGGCGGUUUUUUAAGUCAGGUGUGAAAGCGUGAGGCUUAACCUUAUUAAGCACUUGAAACUGGAAGACUUGAGUGAAGGAGAGGAAAGUGGAAUUCCUAGUGUAGCGGUGAAAUGCGUAGAUAUUAGGAGGAAUACCGGUGGCGAAGGCGACUUUCUGGACUUUUACUGACGCUCAGGUACGAAAGCGUGGGGAGCAAACAGG
Molecule: ribosomal RNA, 746 nt
Filed under: uncultured Parvimonas sp.
Lineage: Bacteria; Bacillati; Bacillota; Tissierellia; Tissierellales; Peptoniphilaceae
Description: bacterial SSU rRNA
Rfam family: Bacterial small subunit ribosomal RNA
Source: RNAcentral